ANCGGCGCACGGGUGAGUAACGCGUGGGCAAUCUGCCCAGCAGUGGGGGAUAACCUCUGGAAACGGAGGCUAAUACCGCAUACGCCCCUCGGGGGAAAGGCUUGCUGCUGCUGGAGGAGCCCGCGUCGGAUUAGGUAGUUGGUAGGGUAACGGCCUACCAAGGCGACGAUCAGUAGGGGGCGUGAGAGCGUGACCCCCCACACGGGUACUGAGACACGGACCCGACUCCUACGGGAGGCAGCAGUAAGGAAUAUUGGGCAAUGGAGGCAACUCUGACCCAGCCAUCCCGCGUGAAGGAUUAAGGCCCUAUGGGUUGUAAACUUCUUUUGCUUGGGAAGAAAUCAGGACAUUUAUGUGCUGUUGACGGUACCUUGCGAAUAAGCACCGGCUAACUCCGUGCCAGCAGCCGCGGUAAUACGGAGGGUGCAAGCGUUAUCCGGAAUCACUGGGUUUAAAGGGUGCGUAGGCGGUUCGAUAAGUCAGAGGUGAAAGCUAGCAGCUUAACUGUUAAAUUGCCUUUGAUACUGUUGGACUUGAAUCAGGUUGAGGUAGGCGGAAUGUGACAUGUAGCGGUGAAAUGCAUAGAUAUGUCAUAGAACACCAAUUGCGUAGGCAGCUUGCUGGGCUUGAAUUGACGCUGAGGCACGAAAGCGUGGGGAUCAAACAGGAUUAGAUACCCUGGUAGUCCACGCCCUAAACGAUG
This 703-nucleotide ribosomal RNA is filed under the name uncultured Haliscomenobacter sp. RNAcentral describes it as "bacterial SSU rRNA". It matches the Rfam family "Bacterial small subunit ribosomal RNA", at positions 94 to 811 of the family's 1533-position model. Lineage: Bacteria; Pseudomonadati; Bacteroidota; Saprospiria; Saprospirales; Haliscomenobacteraceae. The record is from RNAcentral.